UUCAUUAUGGACUAGACUUUGUUCAAAGUAGUCUAUAGGUAUUAACUCCUCAUAAUCGUCCUACAUGUUAAGUACUUUUAUUCCCAUUUUAAAGAUAAGGAAAUUGGGUCAGAGAAAGGUCAAGAAACUCCCCAAAGUUCCCACAGCUGGCAAGCAGCAAAACUAGGUUUUGAAAUCAGUCUGGUGUAGAACCCAGGCUCAUAACACAGAAACUUCCUCACUUGGUGAGAACCUGCUAGUCUUGAAUUGAAGCUGCAUUCCACUUGUUCACCUGUCCACACAGGAGACAAAGAGGCAGACACAUGCCUGCAGAGGACCUUGGUCAGAUUUCCAUCCAAGAUCAUUGUCAUCCUGGGAAAUGAUUUAUCUGGCACAGAGGCACCACCUCUCACGUUUUUGCUGUCACCCUGUGGCCAACAUCUGCUGUUUCCCUCCAUCUAAUACAAGAUAUAUGGGCUGUGGACAUAGCCUACAGGUUUGAGUGAAGCUCCAGACUCUAAGUCAGACCAGAAGCUGUGGAGAGACCCUCGCUGAGGCCCACCAGCUCCUUCCCUGAUGUCCUAGGAGGCCACAAAGGCAGCAAAGCUGUGACUCAUGACUUACGUUAGGCCAACAUGCUGUCGCGCUAAGAAAUCCAGCAGGGUCUCUUUUUCAUUUUCAUGGAUGUACCUGUAUGUUGCAUGUGAGGAGACGUGUCUGCUGGUGCAGGCAGAGAAGGAAGGGGUGACACGGAUAGAGCACUUGUCACUGAAGGCUGGAUCCAGCUGGGUACCGUGGAUACAAACACCACUUACGGGGCUGUGUGUCAUGGGCCUGAGGAUGUUUGUUUGGCUCCUGUCUCCCCAGCAUUGCUCACCACGCCAUCAACAUCUUGAUUCUGCCUAAUCCGCAGAAUCUGAGAACCUUGUGCAGCUCCUUGUCCCUCACCUUCUGCCUCAAAUUGAGGGAGAACCCAUGCAACCAGACAGGAAGGCCUGAUUUAUUCUGGAAAAGAGUCGCAAGUACCCUGGGUCAGAAUGUGAAUAUCUAGUAGUUGAUGAGUGGAAGUCAGGGAAGUAGAUAUGUUCAAGCAGCCAGUUUUUGACUGUCUGCUGAUGCUUGGGACUGAACAUGUAGGUGUCAACAAUAGACAAAGCCGGGUGGAAGGCAGGCUCGUAAACAUGGGAGGAAGCACCCAAAAAGUACUGUUAGUGGGUCGCUUGGUGCUGAUGCCCAUUCAUGCAUUUAUUAAAAAAUACAUUUUAAGCGCCUACUAUGGGUCACUGUAGCAGAAGACUCAGCUCAAGUAUCUGUGCCUGGUCUUGCAUCAGGGGCAGUGGGGGACAACAUACAUCUAAACAGAUAAAUGCAGUAGAGUAUUCCUGAUCUGAUGAUGGGGAGGUUCUGACGUGGAGCUGUGGGGGCCCGAAGGACAGCGCAGCCCCUUGUACCUUGCAGGUAGGGUGGAGGGACAGAUGCAUUUUCAUGCACAACAUGGAACUUCAAAGGUGAGGAGGUAACUGUAGGCAGUGAUGAGUCUAGACAUGAACUCUCAGUAGAGGGAGGAAAUGGCACAAAGGGGGUGCAUAAAGGAAGAGUAAGGGAUGCCGGGAGUGGUUUCACUAGUGGACUUGGCCUGUGUGUUGGGCUGGAAAUGGGGGAACAGAGAGCUGGGAUGGGUGAGUGGUCAAGGGCUGUAGGUUUAGACUUAUCUCACGGGUGAUGCUUGGGAGGGACCACAAAUCAUGGCUUUGCAUUUUAUUGUAUUUCAAUUUUUUGAUAUUAAAAAAUCCAUAUUCUAGUUAGGUUGAAAUACAUGAUACAAAAUCAUUCUGUUGUAUCAAAAAUAAUAGCAAUAUUUUUUGUAUUAUCCCUAGAUAAACAUCUGCAAAUAUUCCCAUUUAUGGAAGCAAGUUCAUUACUAUAAAUCAAAACAAGGCAGUAGAUAUAGCCAUGGAGAAACCUGUGCCUUGGACUUUUAAAAAGUCACAGUGGGACACCUGGGUGGCUCAAGUGAUUAAGCACCUGACUCUUGGUUUCAG
Molecule: long non-coding RNA, 2021 nt
Organism: Felis catus (domestic cat)
Lineage: Eukaryota; Metazoa; Chordata; Mammalia; Carnivora; Felidae
Exons: 3
Source: RefSeq, a predicted model, not a curated record